CGGACGGGUGGAGUAACGCGUGGGUAACCUGCCUUGUACAGGGGGAUAACAGUUGGAAACGGCGUGCUAAUACCGCAUAAGCGCACAGCAUCGCAUGAUGCAGUGUGAAAAACUCCGGUGGUAUAAGAUGGACCCGCGUUGGAUUAGCUAGUUGGUGAGGUAACGGCCCACCAAGGCGACGAUCCAUAGCCGACCUGAGAGGGUGACCGGCCACAUUGGGACUGAGACACGGCCCAA
Molecule: ribosomal RNA, 237 nt
Filed under: uncultured Bacillota bacterium
Lineage: Bacteria; Bacillati; Bacillota
Description: uncultured Firmicutes bacterium partial 16S ribosomal RNA
Rfam family: Bacterial small subunit ribosomal RNA
Source: RNAcentral